GCGCGAGUAGCUCAGCGGCAGAGCACCUCGUUUACACCGAGGGGGCCGUAGGUUCGAUCCCUACCUCGCGCACCA
Molecule: transfer RNA, 75 nt
Filed under: Deltaproteobacteria bacterium
Lineage: Bacteria; Pseudomonadati; Myxococcota; Myxococcia
Description: tRNA-Val
Rfam family: tRNA
About the family: Transfer RNA (tRNA) molecules are approximately 80 nucleotides in length. Their secondary structure includes four short double-helical elements and three loops (D, anti-codon, and T loops).
Source: RNAcentral